RNAcentral lists this long non-coding RNA (1947 nucleotides) under Anas platyrhynchos platyrhynchos (common mallard). RNAcentral describes it as "lncRNA (ENSAPLG00000017136.1)". Lineage: Eukaryota; Metazoa; Chordata; Aves; Anseriformes; Anatidae. The record is from RNAcentral.
GAAAGAUCUGUGUGGGUCUGAUUCAAACCAAUAGAGAGUCAGCGGUAAACAUACCAGGCAGAGCAUCAGAGUAAGUACAUUAUUUCCAUCUUUUUGCUUACCUUUUAGCCUUUAGUUUUGCAACUUACCUUCACCACAGCAGCCUCAUCACCAGUAGUGAGAUUGGAACCAGUUCCACAGGUUGAAACGUUUUAUUUUGGAAAAAAGAAGAAGAAGGAGAAGAAGGGGAAGGGGAAGAAGGAGAAGGAAGAGGAGGAGAAGAAGAAGGAGAAGAAGAAGGAGAAGGAGAAGAAGGAGAAGGAGAAGAAGAAGAAGAAGUAAAAGAUUCAGAUUUAUAUAUUUCUCUCUCACAUGCUUCUUGGUUUUGGAGCCUGAAAGUGACAGUUGUAUUCAGUUCUGUGUAUACCACUAUAAUUCAACUUUAAAUAUUUUUUUUUUCAUGAAACCAGUUAAUGAAUCUUGCUCUUUCCUAACAACAGCAUCUGUCUCUAGUGGGUUUUAUGCAUUUUUUUUUCCUAUGUACUCUGUAAGCAGAAUAGCUUUUCUGACUUAAGGCUGAGAAUUUUUUAUGUGUAGGACCCUAACCCUAAUUAAUUUUCUUUCCUUAUAGUUGAAACAUUUCAAUAUUGCCCUUAAUCUAAACUCCCCUAAGUGAUCUUGGUAAUUACCCUGCAGUGGCAAAGAGAUGUUCUCAGUGAUCCAUGGAUGUUUUAGCUAACUCUCAAUCUUUGGCUUCUCUGAAAAAUGUGUUACAUUUCCUAGUAACUGGGAAGCACUACGGAGAUGCAGAAUAAUCUUGCUUCUAUAGAUUCAGCUACAAAGGUAUACGUUAUUUCUUAGGUCUAUGAACUGUGAGUAGAUUUUCUUCCUAGCUUGUAUAUACUUUUUUUUUUUUUUUUUUUUUUUUUUUUUUUUUUUUUUUAUGCCUUAUUGCUCUGGUGACAAAUUUGAAUUUAUUUUUAUUUCCAAUGUUUUAUUUUGUUUGCACUCAACUGAGUUAGAGACCAGAAUGGGUGAUUGUUAUACAGUAGUUUACUUUUAAAAGAAAUAGGACUUCUCAAGCAGCUAAUACAGGAAGAUGUAUCACCAGCUUGAAUAAUUGUGACAACCAUAGACGGUAUCAGUGCCUGUUUGUUUGCACAAUACCCUACUGCAUUAAGAAAGCCAUCCCAGCUGUCUUGGGCUCUGGAGUCACCCAUUUCAUCACUUGACACUGCAGCAGAUGUUAUGGAUUGAUAACAGACUUCACUUCAUUCACUCCACAUCUAAGAUUACCUCUGGAAAAAAAAAAAAAUAAUCAAAUACAUUAUAACACUCCCAGCCAUUUGUAAAGGAAAAAGAGAGAGAGAGAGGGAAAGAAAGAGAGAAAGAUCAGCAAUUUAUUCUCUCUUUUGCAGCAUUAAAUGGCUCCUUUUGGGCUUUUCAAAUAUAUAUUUCAUUUAUAUAUAUUUUUUUCCUUAACAUAUUCAUAGUGGUGGGUAUUCAUCUUAGUACCUCCAGAAAGAAAGAAAAAAAAAAAAAAAAAGAUAAAGAUAGAUUCAAUAUUUAAUGAUUUAAUUACAUUAAGACUUGGACAGGUUUUAGGUUUAUGAAUUACAUUCCCAUUAUAUCAGAUGCCUUAUGUUUUCACUGAUAGUAUGUAAAUGCAAAAUGUUCAUUGUGUUGAUGACAGAAAUACCAGACAAAUCAAGCACUGUAGUUUUUGGUCUAGUAGAUGAAUAUUCGGAUGUACAUAUGCAGUCCUGAUGGUGAUGCUGGGUCUUGUAUUUUAUUGGAGAUAGUGUAGGUGAAUGUUUAUUUAUAUGCCAUACUGUCUAGCAUAUAAGUGAACAAAAAAUGUGUUUGCAGAGUGGGGUAGGGUUUUCCUCCUCACCUUUUAAAUUGUAGCUAAUGCAAUAAUUGUAUAAAUUAAAUAGAUGGAAUAAAAUACCUGGUGCUGUCCUGUCA